GCUCAGUUGGUAAAGCACAAGGCUCUUAACCUUGUAGACGUGGAUUCAAGUCCCAU
This 56-nucleotide transfer RNA is filed under the name Triticum aestivum (bread wheat). It matches the Rfam family "tRNA", at positions 10 to 63 of the family's 71-position model. From Rfam's summary of the family: Transfer RNA (tRNA) molecules are approximately 80 nucleotides in length. Lineage: Eukaryota; Viridiplantae; Streptophyta; Magnoliopsida; Poales; Poaceae. The record is from Rfam by way of RNAcentral.